GAUGAACGCUGGCGGCGUGCCUAAUACAUGCAAGUCGAGCGAACGGACGAGAAGCUUGCUUCUCUGAUGUUAGCGGCGGACGGGUGAGUAACACGUGGAUAACCUACCUAUAAGACUGGGAUAACUUCGGGAAACCGGAGCUAAUACCGGAUAAUAUUUUGAACCGCAUGGUUCAAAAGUGAAAGACGGUCUUGCUGUCACUUAUAGAUGGAUCCGCGCUGCAUUAGCUUGUUGGUAAGGUAACGGCUUACCAAGGCAACGAUGCAUAGCCGACCUGGGAGGGUGAUCGGCCACACUGGAACUGAGACACGGUCCAGACUCCUACGGGAGGCAGCAGUAGGGAAUCUUCCGCAAUGGGCGAAAGCCUGACGGAGCAACGCCGCGUGAGUGAUGAAGGUCUUCGGAUCGUAAAACUCUGUUAUUAGGGAAGAACAUAUGUGUAAGUAACUGUGCACAUCUUGACGGUACCUAAUCAGAAAGCCACGGCUAACUACGUG
This 497-nucleotide ribosomal RNA is filed under the name uncultured bacterium. Its description in RNAcentral is "partial 16S ribosomal RNA". It matches the Rfam family "Bacterial small subunit ribosomal RNA", at positions 28 to 507 of the family's 1533-position model. The record is from RNAcentral.